Molecule: long non-coding RNA, 1012 nt
Filed under: Vulpes vulpes (red fox)
Lineage: Eukaryota; Metazoa; Chordata; Mammalia; Carnivora; Canidae
Description: lncRNA (ENSVVUG00000003784.1)
Source: RNAcentral
CCUCAUUAUCACAUUAAUGAUGUCAGACACUGAAAAGAAAGUAGAGAAAUCACUUGUCUUAUCAUCUAAUGUCUUUUCAUUAGGCAUCCAGUCAAGGGAUUUUAAAGACAUUGACAUUGACAGCUAACAGGCAGUUGAUAUUAAUUCUGCUGAAAGCAAUAAUGAAGCAGCCAGUUUCCAAACAACCUGGCAAUAACCUGGUGGGACCUCAAAUGGGAGGGUGCUGGAAUCUUUUAAAAUUAAACUUACUUUUUGCUUGGUUGGAAUUGCUUUAAUUCAGGGGUAGUGAGAGCGGGCAGAGGUUGGGGAGGAGACAGAUUGGGUUUCAAUCAUUUAUCAAUGUUUUAAUUAUUUUUCAGGGAAGUUCCUUAGCAGGUUGGAGGAUAAUAUCAUUGUUUGAAAAGACUUUUAGCCAUCUAUCCAAAGUCACACAAGACUGCAAUAUGGAGGCCAACUCAAGGGAUUUGGGGAGAUCUUUCUGCUCCAUUAAAAUUUUGAGAAACAUAUUUUGGAUUCUGGAAAUUUCUGAAAAAUUCCUCAAAAUUAUGGUUUCCGUACUUUACCUCAGGGUUCUUUCCUAACUUUUUAAGAUGGAUUGAGAAAUUAGAGGGGGAAUCCUGAGAUCAUUUCCCAAGAAUCUUCAAAAAAGUCACCUCAGGCACUUUCUUUUUGAAUGCCGUAUUUUCCAGCAUCUAGUCUCAGCACAAAUCUCUUGCAUGUACAAUAAGCAUAAAUAACAAGUUCUAAAAUCUUGUACUUCCCUUUAAAAGGAUGGAAUGCCCCUGGCAAACACAACCAAUUAAAUACCCUUUGUAGCGCUUCCUUAGGUGCUGAAUUUUGGGAGGCCAAAUCCUGAUCAUUGUCAACAUGUUCUUUUGAAGUAAUGAUUUAUAUGGUAUAUUGUCAGGGUUUUAAUGAUCAAAGGUAACAAUGUUUUGUUUCUUUUGUGCUCUUUGUUUGAAGAAAUGCAAAAACCAGCUGGUGUUAGCUGCACAGCUUGAACCGCCCACCC